This 653-nucleotide long non-coding RNA is filed under the name Mytilus galloprovincialis (Mediterranean mussel). The record is from RNAcentral. Lineage: Eukaryota; Metazoa; Mollusca; Bivalvia; Mytilida; Mytilidae.
GGCGUCGUCGUCGUCGUCGUCGUCGUCCGGCGUCCGAAUACUUUUAGUUUUCGCACUCUAACUUUAGUAAAAGUGAAUAGAAAUCUAUGAAAUUUUAACACAAGGUUUAUGACCAUAAAAGGAAGGUUGGUAUUGAUUUUGGGAGUUUUGGUCCCAACAUUUUAGGAAUAAGGGGCCAAAAAGGGCCCAAAUAAGCAUUUUCUUGGUUUUCGCACCAUAACUUUAGUUUAAGUUAAUAGAAAUCUAUGAAAUUUUGACACAAGGUUUAUGACCACAAAAGAAAGAUUGGGAUUGAUUUUGGGAGUUUUGGUUUCAAUAGUUUAGGAAUAAGGGGCCAAUAAAGGGCCCAAAUAAGCAUUUUUCUUGGUUUUUGCACAAUAACCUUAGGUUAAGUAAAUAGAAAUCUAUGAAAUUUAAACACAAUGUUUAUGACCACAAAAGGAAGGUUGGUAUUGAUUUUGGGAGUUUAGGACCCAACAGUUUAGGAAUUAGGGGCCAAAAAGGGACCCAAAUAAGCAUUUUUCUUGGUUUUCGCACUAUAAUGUUAGUAUAAGUAAAUACAAAUCUAUGAAAUUUAAACACAAGGCUUAUGACCAUAAAAGGAAGGUUGGUAUUGAUUUUGGGAGUUUUGGUCCCAACAGUUUAGGAAAAAG